AUAUCAAUAAGCGGAGGAAAAGAAACCAACCGGGAUUGCCUUAGUAACGGCGAGUGAAGCGGCACCAGCCCAAAUUUGAAAUCUAACCUCACUCGGGGUUCGAGUUGUAAUUUGGAGAGGAUGCUUCGGCGGCGGCCCCGGGGGCAGUGCCCUGGAACGGGACGCCAUAGAGGGUGAGAGCCCCGUACCACUCGGUGGACCGUCGCCGUACGAAGCGCCUUCGACGAGUCGAGUUGUUUGGGAAUGCAGCUCUAAGUGGGAGGUAAAUUUCUUCUAAGGCUAAAUACCGGCCAGAGACCGAUAGCGCACAAGUAGAGUGAUCGAAAGAUGAAAAGCACUUUGGAAAGAGAGUUAAACAGCACGUGAAAUUGUUGAAAGGGAAGCUCUUGCUGCCAGACGUGCCGCAACCGCUCAGCCGCCCCUCGGGGUGGUGUACUCGGUUGCGGCGGGCCAGCGUCGGUUCGGGCGGUCGGACAAAGACCUAGGGAACGUAGCCCCCUGCGGGGGGUGUUAUAGCCCCGGGUGCCAUGCGGCCAGCCCGGACCGAGGGCCGCGUUCGCGAGGACGCUGGCGUAAUGGUCGCAAGCGACCCGUCUUGAAACACGGACCAAGGAGUCUAACAUCUGUGCGAGUGUUCGGGUGUCAAACCCGUACGCGUAAUGAAAGUGAACGGAGGUGGGACCCCUUACGGGCGCACCAUCGACCGAUCCUGAUGUCUUCGGAUGGAUUUGAGUAAGAGCAUGGCUGUUGGGACCCGAAAGAUGGUGAACUAUGCGUGUUUAGGGUGAAGCCAGAGGAAACUCUGGUGGAGGCUCGCAGCGGUUCUGACGUGCAAAUCGAUCGUCAAAAAUGCGUAUAGGGGCGAAAGACCAAUCGAACCAU
RNAcentral lists this ribosomal RNA (882 nucleotides) under Reichlingia zwackhii. Its description in RNAcentral is "partial large subunit ribosomal RNA". It matches the Rfam family "Eukaryotic large subunit ribosomal RNA", at positions 40 to 943 of the family's 3401-position model. The record is from RNAcentral. Lineage: Eukaryota; Fungi; Ascomycota; Arthoniomycetes; Arthoniales; Arthoniaceae.